Molecule: ribosomal RNA, 1553 nt
Filed under: Streptococcus pneumoniae B1598
Lineage: Bacteria; Bacillati; Bacillota; Bacilli; Lactobacillales; Streptococcaceae
Description: bacterial SSU rRNA
Rfam family: Bacterial small subunit ribosomal RNA
Source: RNAcentral
UUAAUGAGAGUUUGAUCCUGGCUCAGGACGAACGCUGGCGGCGUGCCUAAUACAUGCAAGUAGAACGCUGAAGGAGGAGCUUGCUUCUCUGGAUGAGUUGCGAACGGGUGAGUAACGCGUAGGUAACCUGCCUGGUAGCGGGGGAUAACUAUUGGAAACGAUAGCUAAUACCGCAUAAGAGUAGAUGUUGCAUGACAUUUGCUUAAAAGGUGCACUUGCAUCACUACCAGAUGGACCUGCGUUGUAUUAGCUAGUUGGUGGGGUAACGGCUCACCAAGGCGACGAUACAUAGCCGACCUGAGAGGGUGAUCGGCCACACUGGGACUGAGACACGGCCCAGACUCCUACGGGAGGCAGCAGUAGGGAAUCUUCGGCAAUGGACGGAAGUCUGACCGAGCAACGCCGCGUGAGUGAAGAAGGUUUUCGGAUCGUAAAGCUCUGUUGUAAGAGAAGAACGAGUGUGAGAGUGGAAAGUUCACACUGUGACGGUAUCUUACCAGAAAGGGACGGCUAACUACGUGCCAGCAGCCGCGGUAAUACGUAGGUCCCGAGCGUUGUCCGGAUUUAUUGGGCGUAAAGCGAGCGCAGGCGGUUAGAUAAGUCUGAAGUUAAAGGCUGUGGCUUAACCAUAGUAGGCUUUGGAAACUGUUUAACUUGAGUGCAAGAGGGGAGAGUGGAAUUCCAUGUGUAGCGGUGAAAUGCGUAGAUAUAUGGAGGAACACCAGUGGCGAAAGCGGCUCUCUGGCUUGUAACUGACGCUGAGGCUCGAAAGCGUGGGGAGCAAACAGGAUUAGAUACCCUGGUAGUCCACGCUGUAAACGAUGAGUGCUAGGUGUUAGACCCUUUCCGGGGUUUAGUGCCGUAGCUAACGCAUUAAGCACUCCGCCUGGGGAGUACGACCGCAAGGUUGAAACUCAAAGGAAUUGACGGGGGCCCGCACAAGCGGUGGAGCAUGUGGUUUAAUUCGAAGCAACGCGAAGAACCUUACCAGGUCUUGACAUCCCUCUGACCGCUCUAGAGAUAGAGCUUUCCUUCGGGACAGAGGUGACAGGUGGUGCAUGGUUGUCGUCAGCUCGUGUCGUGAGAUGUUGGUUAAGUCCCGCAACGAGCGCAACCCCUAUUGUUAGUUGCCAUCAUUUAGUUGGGCACUCUAGCGAGACUGCCGGUAAUAAACCGGAGGAAGGUGGGGAUGACGUCAAAUCAUCAUGCCCCUUAUGACCUGGGCUACACACGUGCUACAAUGGCUGGUACAACGAGUCGCAAGCCGGUGACGGCAAGCUAAUCUCUUAAAGCCAGUCUCAGUUCGGAUUGUAGGCUGCAACUCGCCUACAUGAAGUCGGAAUCGCUAGUAAUCGCGGAUCAGCACGCCGCGGUGAAUACGUUCCCGGGCCUUGUACACACCGCCCGUCACACCACGAGAGUUUGUAACACCCGAAGUCGGUGGGAGGUAACCGUAAGGAGCCAGCCGCCUAAGGUGGGAUAGAUGAUUGGGGUGAAGUCGUAACAAGGUAGCCGUAUCGGAAGGUGCGGCUGGAUCACCUCCUUUCUAAGGA